RNAcentral lists this ribosomal RNA (468 nucleotides) under uncultured bacterium. Its description in RNAcentral is "partial 16S ribosomal RNA". It matches the Rfam family "Bacterial small subunit ribosomal RNA", at positions 28 to 507 of the family's 1533-position model. The record is from RNAcentral.
GACGAACGCUGGCGGCGGGCUUAACACAUGCAAGUCGAACGGCAAGGCCCUGCUAUCGUGGGGUGAUCGAGUGGCGAACGGGUGAGUAACACGUGAGUAACCUGCUCUUGACUUUGGGAUAACUUCAGGAAACUGGGGUUAAUACCGGAUAGGAGAUCCUGCUGCAUGGUGGGGGUUGGAAAGUCUCGGCGUCUGGGGAUGGAGUCGCGGCUUAUCAGCUUGUUGGUGGGGUAGUGGCUUACCAAGCCUGUGAGGGGUAGCCGGCAUGAGAGGGUGACCGGCCACAUCGGGACUGAGAGACGGGCCGGACUGGUGCAGGAGGGAGCAGGGGGGAAUGUUGCACAAUGGCAGGAAGCGUGGUGGAGGAACGCCGCGUGCGUGAUAACGGCCUUCGGGGUGGAAGCAGCUUUGGCGUGUAACGACGCGUUGGUGACGGUAAUGGGUAAGGAGACACCGGCUAAAUACGUG